GACGAACGCUGGCGGCGUGCUUAACACAUGCAAGUCGAACGGAAAGGCCCUGCUUUUGUGGGGUGCUCGAGUGGCGAACGGGUGAGUAACACGUGAGUAACCUGCCCUUUACUUUUGGAUAACUUCAGGAAACUGGGGCUAAUACCGGAUAGGAGCUCCUGCUGCAUGGUUGGGGUUGGAAAGUUUCGGCGGUUGGGGAUGUACUCGCGGCUUAUCAGCUUGUUGGUGUGGUAGUGGCUUACCAAGGGUUUGACGGGUAGCCGGCCUGGGAGGGUGACCGGCAACAUGGGGACUGAGAUACGGCCCAGAAUCGUACGGGAGGCAGCAGGGGGGAAUAUUGCAGAAUGGGCGGAAGCCAGAGGCAGAAACGCCGCGUGCGGGAUGACGGCCUUCGGGUUGUAAACCGCUUUCGCAGGUGACGAAGCGUGAGUGACGGUAAUGGGUAAAGAAGCACCGGCUAACUACGUG
RNAcentral lists this ribosomal RNA (468 nucleotides) under uncultured bacterium. RNAcentral's name for it is "partial 16S ribosomal RNA". It matches the Rfam family "Bacterial small subunit ribosomal RNA", at positions 28 to 507 of the family's 1533-position model. The record is from RNAcentral.